RNAcentral lists this ribosomal RNA (473 nucleotides) under Mimegralla australica. RNAcentral describes it as "partial 16S ribosomal RNA". Lineage: Eukaryota; Metazoa; Arthropoda; Insecta; Diptera; Micropezidae. The record is from RNAcentral.
UUAAAGUCGAACAGGACUUAAAAUUUGAAUGGCUGCACCCAAAAUUAUAUCUUAAUCCAACAUCGAGGUCGCAAUCUUUUUUAUCGAUAUGAACUCUCCAAAAAAAUUACGCUGUUAUCCCUAAAGUAACUUAAUCUUAUAAUCGCUAAUAACGGAUCAAUAAGUCAUUAAUUAAUGUUUUUAAAAAUUAAAAGUUCUUUAAAUUUUAAUAUCACCCCAAUAAAAUAAUUAAAUUUAUUAAUACAAAAAACAUCCUUAAAAUAAAAAUAAAUUAAUUAUAAAGAUUUAUAGGGUCUUCUCGUCUUUUAAAUAAAUUUUAGCUUUUUGACUAAAAAAUAAAAUUCUAUUAUAAAUUAAAUUGAAACAGUUUAUAUCUCGUCCAACCAUUCAUACCAGCCUUCAAUUAAAAGACUAAUGAUUAUGCUACCUUUGCACAGUCAAAAUACUGCGGCCAUUUAAAUUAUCAGUGGGCA